Molecule: ribosomal RNA, 253 nt
Filed under: uncultured bacterium
Lineage: Bacteria
Description: partial 16S ribosomal RNA
Rfam family: Bacterial small subunit ribosomal RNA
Source: RNAcentral
UACGUAGGGUGCAGGCGUUAAUCGGAAUUACUGGGCGUAAAGCGUGCGCAGGCGGUUUGCUAAGACAGGUGUGAAAUCCCCGGGCUUAACCUGGGAACUGCGCUUGUAACUGGCAAGCUAGAGUGUGGCAGAGGGGGGUGGAAUUCCUGGUGUAGCGGUGGAAUGCGCAGAUAUCAGGAGGAACACCAAUGGCGAAGGCAGCUCGCUGGGACGGUACUGACGCUGAGGCGCGAAAGCGUGGGGAGCAAACAGG